UGCCCCAUGGCUGAGUUGGUUACAGCGUCCGACUGUUAAGGUGGUUGUGUCGACAAAGGUUCACGCCUGCGUUGCUUAUGUAACCUCAUUACUAUAAUCGGAAGGUCCUGAGUUCGACCCUCAGUGGGGCAG
Molecule: non-coding RNA, 132 nt
Organism: Fomitopsis serialis
Lineage: Eukaryota; Fungi; Basidiomycota; Agaricomycetes; Polyporales; Fomitopsidaceae
Source: the annotation of a RefSeq genome assembly